Long non-coding RNA from Tachysurus fulvidraco (yellow catfish), 572 nucleotides. RefSeq lists it as uncharacterized. The transcript is spliced from 4 exons. NCBI's taxonomy places the organism in Eukaryota, Metazoa, Chordata, Actinopteri, Siluriformes, Bagridae. The record is from RefSeq and is a predicted model, not a curated record.
UUUGUGUUGGAAUAUAUUACCCCAGUGAAGAAAGAGACGCGUCUAAAGUGGUCACUUCUACUUCCGUGCCGUGCACGGUACAGCGACCCGUAAAGGAGAGCAGCUGAUAUGAUGUUGGUUAGAAGACCUCCUCAGGCUGUCAGAAGGAAGUGAUGCAGUACACCAUGUAUCCACUGUGAAUCUUAAAGGGCCUUCACCCCUGUCUCAUGUCCACAUGUACAACAAGCAGGCAGAUUCAUUACACAGGUUCUCUCUCACUCUUUCUUUCUUUGUCUCUGUCUAGUUCUGCUUGCUUCUAUCAGUCACCUUCUGUCAAGACAACCCCAGAGUGUCAGAGGCACUUAACCAUAUUGAUUUUUGAGUCAAGACUUGUUAGCUCUGAGUGCCAGCUUUGCUAGUGAGUCCAGCAGAAAUCUGGCACAAGGAGCUACAGAUGACCCUAAACUACACCACUGAAUAUUUCCUGGGGCCAUCUGGCUACAAAGAGAAGCUGCCAAAUGCUAUGUAAUGCAGACUCCCCAUCAGGAACAUCAUGUCUUGUUGCAGUGUUAAAAAAUAAAUAAAUAAAUAUG